AAAAGAAACUAACAAGGAUUCCCCUAGUAACGGCGAGUGAACCGGGAAGAGCUCAAAUUUGAAAUCUGGCGUCCUUCGGGCGUCCGAGUUGUAAUCUAUAGAGACGUUUUCCGUGCCGGACCGUGUCCAAGUCCCUUGGAACAGGGUAUCAAAGAGGGUGACAAUCCCGUGCUUGACACGACCACCGGUGCCAUGUGAUACGUCUUCUACGAGUCGAGUUGUUUGGGAAUGCAGCUCAAAACGGGUGGUAAACUCCAUCUAAGGCUAAAUAUUGGUGGGAGACCGAUAGCGAACAAGUACCGUGAGGGAAAGAUGAAAAGCACUUUGGAAAGAGAGUUAAACAGUAUGUGAAAUUGUUGAAAGGGAAACGAUUGAAGUCAGUCGUGUCCAUCGGACUCAGCCGGUUCUGCCGGUCUACUUCCUUUGGACGGGUCAACAUCAGUUCUGGCCGACGGACAAGGGCUGGAGGAACGUGGCACCCCUCGGGGUGUGUUAUAGCCUCCUGUCGCAUACGUUGGCCGGGACUGAGGAAUGCAGCUCGCCGCAAGGCCGGGGUUCGCCCACGU
RNAcentral lists this ribosomal RNA (566 nucleotides) under Teunia sp. RNAcentral describes it as "partial large subunit ribosomal RNA". It matches the Rfam family "Eukaryotic large subunit ribosomal RNA", at positions 57 to 608 of the family's 3401-position model. The record is from RNAcentral. Lineage: Eukaryota; Fungi; Basidiomycota; Tremellomycetes; Tremellales; Cryptococcaceae.